AGAGUUUGAUCAUGGCUCAGGAUGAACGCUAGCUACAGGCUUAACACAUGCAAGUCGAGGGGCAGCAUCAUCAAAGCUUGCUUUGAUGGAUGGCGACCGGCGCACGGGUGAGUAACACGUAUCCAACCUGCCGACAACACUGGGAUAGCCUUUCGAAAGAAAGAUUAAUACCGGAUGGCAUAGUUUUCCCGCAUGGGAUAAUUAUUAAAGAAUUUCGGUUGUCGAUGGGGAUGCGUUCCAUUAGGCAGUUGGCGGGGUAACGGCCCACCAAACCUACGAUGGAUAGGGGUUCUGAGAGGAAGGUCCCCCACAUUGGAACUGAGACACGGUCCAAACUCCCACGGGAGGCAGCAGUGAGGAAUAUUGGUCAAUGGACGAGAGUCUGAACCAGCCAAGUAGCGUGAAGGAUGACUGCCCUAUGGGUUGUAAACUUCUUUUAUACGGGAAUAAAGUGAGCCACGUGUGGCUUUUU
Molecule: ribosomal RNA, 472 nt
Filed under: uncultured bacterium
Lineage: Bacteria
Description: bacterial SSU rRNA
Rfam family: Bacterial small subunit ribosomal RNA
Source: RNAcentral